This 360-nucleotide ribosomal RNA is filed under the name Triticum aestivum (bread wheat). RNAcentral's name for it is "partial small subunit ribosomal RNA". Lineage: Eukaryota; Viridiplantae; Streptophyta; Magnoliopsida; Poales; Poaceae. The record is from RNAcentral.
AUGGUCACCAAGGAAGUCCUCUCGGCAAAGCCAUUGAGAUCCUUUUCUCUAGUGUGUGUGCGUUGUGUGUGUGUGUGUUCCUCCGUGUAUGUGUGUUCUGGUGCUCUUGACAGAAGAGAGAGUUGUGAGAGACAAAGAGAGGUAGAAGAAGAGCGGCGCCUGAGAGGCGGCGCCAACAAUUGGCAUCAGAGCCUUGUUGAUCCGAGGCGAUGGCGGCGGCGCGGCGGACUCCAUGUGAGGGGGAUGUUGGCGGCGCAAGGUGGACGCCGUUGGCAGCAUGAUGCUGCUACCCGCCGGUGCGUGUCUCCAUCAUCAUCGAGCUGCGUCAUGAGUGAUGGAGAGAGGUGUGCUGCUUGGUAA